UGUGAGAAAGGUCGAGGGCUGGGUGAGACGGGUGGAGAUUAGUGGGUGAUGAUUUGGACAGCGUCACACUGGUUCUGUAACCCAGCGACACUCACCCACUCUCUGUCACUGAGGUCUAUCUCUCUUUCUGUUUAUCUAUCUCUCUUUCUCUAGAUACUAUCUAUCUCUUUCUGUUUAUCUCUCUCUUUCUCUAUCUAGCUCUCUCUGUCUUUCUCUAGCUACUAUCUCUUUCUCUCUCUCUCUCGCUCUCUCUCUCUCUCUCUCAGCCACAGAGCAUGACCCCGCCCCUAACCUGACAUUAUAAGGACAGACCAACUGAUUAGCAUAUUCAUAUGUACAUCAUUAGCAUAUUCCUAUGUACAUCAUUAGCAUAUUCCUAUGUACACCAUUAGCAUAUUCCUAUGUACACCAUUAGCAUAUUCCUAUGUACACCAUUAGCAUAUUCCUAUGUACAUCAUUAGUAUAUUCCUAUGUACAUCAUUAGCAUAUUCCUAUGUACACCAUUAGCAUAUUCCUAUGUACACCAUUAGCAUAUUCCUAUGUACAUCAUUAGUAUAUUCCUAUGUACAUCAUUAGCAUAUUCCUAUUCCACAGACUAGACUGUGUAUGUUUAGCAAAGUAUCUCUACCACACACAGUCCCUCUCUUCUGUCUGCGUGUGUUUUAGCCUCAGCGUUUAAAUAGAACCCCCACUCUCUGUCAGGUCACUCUCUGUCAGGUCACUCUCUGUCAGGUCACUCUCUGUCUUCAAGACUGAGCAGCUGUGGGUGUGUCAGGUCACUCUCUGUCAGGUCAUUCUCUGUCAGGUCACUCUCUGUCUUCAAGACUGAGCAGCUGUGGGUGUGUCAGGUCACUCUCUGUCAGGUCACUCUCUGUUAGGUCACUCUCUGUCAGGUCACUCUCUCGUUAGGUCAUUCUCUGUUAGGUCACUCUCUGUCAGGUUACUCUCAUGUUAGGUCACUCUCUUGUUAGGUCACCUGACACAAACCAGUAGGUGAUGGUGUUAGGACUUAUUGAUGACUGUGGAUCAAUACCACCAAUGUUUCUAGACCCACUGAUGCACAGAGAGGAGGGACCGCGUGAUCCAACAACUUUUUAUAUUUAUGCUUCAGGAAAUGUUACUGCAGAUGAACUUUCCAGCUUUCCUCCACGAUGCUAUACACACAUUCAUAAUAACACACUUAUUAACAUAAGAAAAGAAGGGCAUUGAAGAUGCAAUGAUAUUUGUAAAUAAAUGCUUUCCUU
Oncorhynchus tshawytscha (Chinook salmon) is the source of this 1244-nucleotide long non-coding RNA. The record is from Ensembl. Lineage: Eukaryota; Metazoa; Chordata; Actinopteri; Salmoniformes; Salmonidae.